AGUGAACGCUGGCGGUAGGCCUAACACAUGCAAGUCGAACGGCAGCACAGUAAGAGCUUGCUCUUACGGGUGGCGAGUGGCGGACGGGUGAGGAAUACAUCGGAAUCUACUUUUUCGUGGGGGAUAACGUAGGGAAACUUACGCUACUACCGCACACGACCUACGGGUGAAAGCCGGGGAUCUUCGGACCUUGCGCGAUUGACUGAGCCGAUGUCGGAUUAGCUAGUUGGCGGGGUAAAGGCCCACCAAGGCGACGAUCCGUAGCUGGUCUGAGAGGAUGAUCAGCCACACUGGAACUGAGACACGGUCCAGACUCCUACGGGAGGCAGCAGUGGGGAAUAUUGGACAAUGGGCGCAAGCCUGAUCCAGCCAUACCGCGUGGGUGAAGAAGGCCUUCGGGUUGUAAAGCCCUUUUGUUGGGAAAGAAAAGCAUCAGGUUAAUACCCCGCUGUUCUGACGGUACCCAAAGAAUAAGCACCGGCUAACUUCGUG
Molecule: ribosomal RNA, 492 nt
Filed under: uncultured bacterium
Lineage: Bacteria
Description: partial 16S ribosomal RNA
Rfam family: Bacterial small subunit ribosomal RNA
Source: RNAcentral